AACAAAUAAAGUUUUUUGUUGCAAUUUGUAGUUAUUUAGUAUGCAUUCAGAUAUCUGGAGGUUGAGUUCUUGAAAGUAAUAGGAAAAAUGUAUAUGUGCUUUUGAAAACCACAAAACAUACCCGGCUAUGACGUAUUGACACAAAGUUUUUGAUGAAUGAUGCUGAAGUCACUGUCCUUGGCCAGAUAUGAAUGUGGGUCGUUCCGGUUACGUAGAACCAACUGUUGUGGGAACGAUAAGGUUAAAGUAAUUCAGAGCAGCUGUAGAUAUAAAAAAAUUGGCAACAACUAUUUCACUGUAUUUUAUUAGUCGAACUUAAAAUCAGAGCUUUGGCUUUGUAUUAAAUCAUAUUUAUGUGAUUUGAAAUUCUAAAAAUUGCUUUCCAGAUGCUUCACCAAUUGCAGGUUUUACAGGAUUUGCAGGAAAAGCUGUUUUCUCCAUUAAUAAACCUUAUGGAAGGUGGUCACCUGGAACGGCUUCCUGUAAAAACCUGCAAAUCGUGAAGCAUCUGGAACGCAACUAUUAAAGGCAGAGUUUUUUGGCAAUAGUUUCAAAACAGUCCCAUCAUAGAAAUCGAAACGAGCCUGCAUAGUCGUGAUCAUUAGAUGCAUUUUAUGCUUUAAUACAAAAAGAACGAUUUUAUUACAUCAUAUCUACAAUUAACAAUAAAUUAAAAGCAUUUCAUGGAAAUGUUUUCGAAUCGGAAGUUUUCGAUAUAUGUUUAUACAUAAGAUGGUCUCGACCUUUAAAACUCCACUCGUAAAGUGGUUACAAAGCUAACAUUAAGGGUCAGUUUUUCAGUGCACGGUUGUGCUAGUUUAAACUAAUUAGCCAAUCAAAUAUGAGCCAGCUCAUUAAAAAAUGCAGCUUACAUGAUCCAAGUUUAAGCUGACACUGAAAAACUUGCCCUAAAGCAAUGCUAUUUAAACUUAAAAUACUCUGUGCCCACUUGAUCCCCAGUGAAAAA
Molecule: long non-coding RNA, 967 nt
Organism: Rhagoletis zephyria (snowberry fruit fly)
Lineage: Eukaryota; Metazoa; Arthropoda; Insecta; Diptera; Tephritidae
Source: RefSeq, a predicted model, not a curated record